This 255-nucleotide ribosomal RNA is filed under the name uncultured bacterium. Its description in RNAcentral is "partial 16S ribosomal RNA". It matches the Rfam family "Bacterial small subunit ribosomal RNA", at positions 524 to 776 of the family's 1533-position model. The record is from RNAcentral.
UACGUAGGGCGCAAGCGUUAUCCGGAAUUAUUGGGCGUAAAGAGCUCGUAGGCGGUUUGUCGCGUCUGCCGUGAAAAGUCCGGGGCUCAACUCCGGAUCUGCGGUGGGUACGGGCAGACUAGAGUGAUGUAGGGGGAGACUGGAAUUCCUGGUGUAGCGGUGAAAUGCGCAGAUAUCAGGAGGAACACCGAUGGCGAAGGCAGGUCUCUGGGCAUUAACUGACGCUGAGGAGCGAAAGCAUGGGGAGCGAACAGG